ACUGUCAAUGAUGAUUACCUACUCCCCUUGGUUGAGUUUAACGACCAUGAAAAAACUUACAUGCACUACCAUCUGAGACAGG
This is a small nucleolar RNA of Scomber scombrus (Atlantic mackerel), 82 nucleotides long. The record is from RefSeq and is a predicted model, not a curated record. NCBI's taxonomy places the organism in Eukaryota, Metazoa, Chordata, Actinopteri, Scombriformes, Scombridae.